UUGAUCCGUUCUCUCUAGCUAGGCGACUCGGACGGGGCACGUUAGGGGCGCGCGGGGCGCUGGGUUAGGGUUGGGGUCCUGUGGCGGGCGCACACCAGCGGGGGGCCGGUGGUCGGAUCGACGGCCCGCCAAGGCAACACCGGUACGGUAGGCACGGGGUGGGAGGUCUACCCUCGAUGGGGCACGAACUCGGUAAUGAUCCUUCCGCAGGUUCACCUACGGAAA
RNAcentral lists this unclassified non-coding RNA (225 nucleotides) under uncultured fungus. RNAcentral describes it as "sequence contains ITS1". The record is from RNAcentral. Lineage: Eukaryota; Fungi.